UACGGAGGGUGCAAGCGUUAUCCGGAUUCACUGGGUUUAAAGGGCGCGUAGGCGGCGCGAGUAGUCAACGGUGAAAGCCCGGGGCUCAACCCCGGGUCGGCCGUCGAUACUCUCGUGCUUGAGCACUGUAGAGGCAGGUGGAAUUCCGGGUGUAGCGGUGGAAUGCGUAGAGAUCCGGAAGAACACCGGUGGCGAAGGCGGCCUGCUGGGCAGUAGCUGACGCUGAGGCGCGACAGCGUGGGGAGCAAACAGG
This 253-nucleotide ribosomal RNA is filed under the name uncultured bacterium. RNAcentral describes it as "partial 16S ribosomal RNA". It matches the Rfam family "Bacterial small subunit ribosomal RNA", at positions 524 to 776 of the family's 1533-position model. The record is from RNAcentral.